Molecule: ribosomal RNA, 487 nt
Filed under: uncultured bacterium
Lineage: Bacteria
Description: partial 16S ribosomal RNA
Rfam family: Bacterial small subunit ribosomal RNA
Source: RNAcentral
GACGAACGCUGGCGGCGUGCUUAACACAUGCAAGUCGAACGGGCUCUGUCUGGCUGUGUGCUGGGUGGGGUUAGUGGCGAACGGGUGAGUAAUACGUGAGUAACCUGCCCUCUUCUUUGGGAUAAGCCUUGGAAACGGGGUCUAAUACUGGAUAUUCCUGUCUGGUCGCAUGGCUGGGUGGGGAAAGUUUUUUUCGGUGGGGGAUGGGCUCGCGGCCUAUCAGCUUGUUGGUGGGGUGAUGGCCUACCAAGGCGUCGACGGGUAGCCGGCCUGAGAGGGUGACCGGCCCCACUGGGCCUGUGAUACGGCCCAGACUCCUACGGGCGGCAGCAGUGGGGGAUAUUGCACAAUGGGCGCAAGCCUGAUGCAGCGACGCCGCGUGGGGGAUGACGGCUUUCGGGUUGUAAACCUCUUUCGUCGGGGGACAAGGCUCUGCUUGGUGGUGGGGUUGAGGGUACCCGGUGAAGAAGCGCCGGCUAACUACGUG